AGCCUGGGCGACAGAGCGAGACUCCGUCUCAAAAACAAAAACAAAAAUUCUCAAACUCUAAAAUUGACUUCAGGCUGGGCAUAGUGGCUAACGCCUAUAAUCUCAGCACUUUGAGAGGCUAAGGUGGGAGGAUUACUUGAGCCUAGGAGUUUGAGACCAGCCUGGGCUACAUGGUGAGACCCCAUCUCUUAAAAAAAAAAAAUUCCGUGGAACACUUAUAGAAUAUGUUAGAUAGGUCAUUUUUUUAGUGCAGUUUACAAUGGUUUAUUCAACAUAGCAAAAACUAUCUGCUGAGAAAAAUUUAGAACAGACAUGAGUUGUGCAAAAAGCAAAAAGAACUUCACUCAAAAGCAUUUUUUGCUUUAAAAUUUGGUAGUUAAAAACAGGGCUUCCUUUCAGUUGUUUCAUUUUGUUUGGAAAUAUUUACUUUUUAGUCUUAAUUAUAUUUGACAUAACUUACUUCUUAAAGAAGAAGGGUAAUAAUACCCCAAUUCUUAUAAGUUUAAUUUUUCUUGGUGAGGACUUAUUCAAAAUCAACUUUAAAAAAACCACUCAGGCCAGGUGCGGUGGCUCACACCUGUAAUCCCAGCACUUUGGGAGGCUGAGGCAGGUGGAUCACUUGAGGUCAGGAGUUCAAGACUAGCCCGGCCAACAUGGUGAAACCCCAUCUCUAAUAAAUACAAAAAUUAGCCAGGCACAGUGGCACGUGCCUGUAAUCCCAGCUACUCAGGAUCGUGAGGCAGGAGCAUUGCUUGAACCUGGGAGGCGAAGGUUUCAGUGAGCCAAGAUCAUGCCACUACACUCCAGCCUGGGUGACAGAGCGAGACUCAGACCAUGUCCUCUCCCUCUCACUCCCCGCAAAAAGAGAAGAACAUGGCAAAUGGCAGUUACAGCGAAGAAACACACUCAGGAAGGAGGCUUCAAAAUCGUUUUUUCAAAGUCUACUGUGUGCCCUGUUUUAAGUGCUGAGAAAACAGGAAAGGCCAAGAAAGACAAAGUUCCUGCCCUUGUGGAGCUUACAAAUAAGCACGGGGAGAAAAGAAAACAAGCACAUACAUACAGACAUGAUCAUCAGAAGUGAGAUGGAACAGCAACAAUCAGUGUCGCAAUCAGAUGAGAGGGCCAGGGGAUGGGGACAGUGGUGGUGAUUGGGAGGGUUGGGCAGACUGGCUGGCUGAGAUGGACUUCUCUGAGGCGGGGGCAUUUAAUCUAAGAUGCCAACAAUGAGUCAGCCAUGAGAAAAUGUGGGAGAGGAGCCUUUCAAAUGAAGACGCGUGCAAAUGCUGUCACCAACCUCUCUCACUCUGAUGACACAAAAUGUACUGACAGCACUGAGCUACCAUGUGUGCCUAUUAGAAAUCAUAUUUACAUUUCCAGUCUUUUGGAUUUGAGACAUCUGGUACUGAUAUCUGUAUCUUCUAGAUGUUUCAAUAGGGGGUCCAUUAGAAAAUCUGAGUUAUAAAAAAAAUUAAAAACAUAGGGGAUAAAGAGAAUGAAAAUAACAAGAAAGCAAUAUUAAAACACACAUACAGUUUACAUUUAAAUGCCCCAAAGGAGAUGUGUUGGAGCUGUUUGGGGAUCCAUCCAGCCAAAUAUAACCACACACCAAGAGGUUUUGUUAGGGGACAUGAAAGUAACUAUAACAGAAUAGGAAAACCAAAUUUACACACUUGUAUGUGGAUCAUUUAGAAUAUAAACAAUUCACUCUGAAAAAAAGUUUUAUAAAUUCCUCUGGUAUUGACAUAAACUAAGCAUAAUAAACUCAAGUGUGAAAUUAGAUUUAUUUGUAAUGACAAGGUCAGUUUGAGAACCUGCCUUCAGUGAUAGUGAUGCUU
This 1835-nucleotide long non-coding RNA is filed under the name Homo sapiens (human). Its description in RNAcentral is "HSALNT0064213". The record is from RNAcentral. Lineage: Eukaryota; Metazoa; Chordata; Mammalia; Primates; Hominidae.